Molecule: long non-coding RNA, 527 nt
Organism: Durio zibethinus
Lineage: Eukaryota; Viridiplantae; Streptophyta; Magnoliopsida; Malvales; Malvaceae
Source: RefSeq, a predicted model, not a curated record
CACGUUUAGAUGCCAUAAUAACCAAAUUACACUCGCAACUGAACACAAAAACCCCACACGAGCUAGGGUUUCCAAAGCGUAGGCCUUUAAAUACCGAACGAAGCCCUUCUAAUUGUUAAGGGAACUCUCCUUUACAAAGAAAUCGUCGACAAACCGUAAAAGAAAGCGUCAAUCCCAAGAUGAGAGCCAAGUGGAAGAAGAAACGCAUGAGAAGGCUGAAGAGGAAGCGCCGAAAGAUGAGGCAGAGAUCAAAGUAGGUGCUUCCCUUGUCUUCACGAUCAUCCAGCAUAUGUUUGCAUGAAGUUCUGAAGAUAGGAGGAUGUGUUCUCGGGCAAACUUAUCUUUUCUGUCUUCUAAUUCUAAUUUAAGUUUUAAGACUGUUUGAGAUGUUGUCUAGUACUAGUGGAUAUUAUGUUGGAAUUUUAUGGUUUGAGCUAUGUAGACUAUUUAUCUUUAACAUGCUUCCUAAAAGUUUGAAAUUGUAAACUCUAUGGUCUUUGUCUAAUAUUAGAUAAUUGUUCAUGCUA